Molecule: ribosomal RNA, 497 nt
Filed under: uncultured bacterium
Lineage: Bacteria
Description: partial 16S ribosomal RNA
Rfam family: Bacterial small subunit ribosomal RNA
Source: RNAcentral
GAUGAACGCUGGCGGCGUGCCUAAUACAUGCAAGUCGAGCGAACAGACGAGGAGCUUGCUCCUCUGACGUUAGCGGCGGACGGGUGAGUAACACGUGGAUAACCUACCUAUAAGACUGGGAUAACUUCGGGAAACCGGAGCUAAUACCGGAUAAUAUAUUGAACCGCAUGGUUCAAUAGUGAAAGACGGUUUUGCUGUCACUUAUAGAUGGAUCCGCGCCGCAUUAGCUAGUUGGUAAGGUAACGGCUUACCAAGGCGACGAUGCGUAGCCGACCUGAGAGGUUGACGGGCCACAGUGGACCGGGAACACGCACCAGACUCCAACGGGAGGAGGAGGUAGGGAAUCUUCCGCAAGGGGGGAAGGCCGGCCGGAGCACCGCGGGGGGAGGAAGAAGGGUCUUGGGAUCGUAAACCUUUUUUAUUGGGAAAAAAAAAAUGUGUAAGUAACUAUGCACGUCUUGACGGUACCUAAUAAGAAAGCCACGGCUAACUACGUC